Molecule: ribosomal RNA, 253 nt
Filed under: uncultured bacterium
Lineage: Bacteria
Description: partial 16S ribosomal RNA
Rfam family: Bacterial small subunit ribosomal RNA
Source: RNAcentral
UACGGGGGGGGCAAGCGUUGUUCGGAAUUACUGGGCGUAAAGGGCGCGUAGGCGGCUCUUCAAGUCAGCCGUGAAAUCUCCAGGCUUAACCUGGAAGGGUCGGUUGAUACUGUCGAGCUAGAGUGUGGAAGAGGCAACUGGAAUUCCGUGUGUAGCGGUGAAAUGCGUAGAUAUCGAGAGGAACACCUGCGGCGAAGGCGGGUUGCUGGGCUGAUACUGACGCUGAGGCGCGAAAGCCAGGGGAGCGAACGGG